This 495-nucleotide ribosomal RNA is filed under the name uncultured bacterium. RNAcentral's name for it is "partial 16S ribosomal RNA". It matches the Rfam family "Bacterial small subunit ribosomal RNA", at positions 28 to 507 of the family's 1533-position model. The record is from RNAcentral.
GACGAACGCUGGCGGCGUGCCUAAUACAUGCAAGUAGAACGCUGAAGGAGGAGCUUGCUUCUCUGGAUGAGUUGCGAACGGGUGAGUAACGCGUAGGUAACCUGCCUGGUAGCGGGGGAUAACUAUUGGAAACGAUAGCUAAUACCGCAUAACAGUAGAUAUCGCAUGAUAUCUACUUGAAAGGUGCAAUUGCAUCACUACCAGAUGGACCUGCGUUGUAUUAGCUAGUUGGUGAGGUAACGGCUCACCAAGGCGACGAUACAUAGCCGACCUGAGAGGGUGAGCGGCCACACUGGGACUGAGACACGGCCCAGACUCCUACGGGAGGCAGCAGUAGGGAAUCUUCGGCAAUGGACGGAAGUCUGACCGAGCAACGCCGCGUGAGUGAAGAAGGUUUUCGGAUCGUAAAGCUCUGUUGUAAGAGAAGAACGAGUGUGAGAGUGGAAAGUUCACACUGUGACGGUAGCUUACCAGAAAGGGACGGCUAACUACGUG